GCCGGGAUGGCGAAAUGGUAGACGCGGUGGUCUCAAAAGCCGCUUCUCUAACGAGAAUGCCGGUUCGAGUCCGGCUCCCGGCACCA
This 86-nucleotide transfer RNA is filed under the name Deltaproteobacteria bacterium. RNAcentral's name for it is "tRNA-Leu". It matches the Rfam family "tRNA". Rfam says of the family: Transfer RNA (tRNA) molecules are approximately 80 nucleotides in length. The record is from RNAcentral. Lineage: Bacteria; Pseudomonadati; Myxococcota; Myxococcia.